AUUGAACGCUGGCGGCAGGCCUAACACAUGCAAGUCGAACGGUAACAGGAAGAAGCUUGCUUCUUUGCUGACGAGUGGCGGACGGGUGAGUAAUGUCUGGGAAACUGCCUGAUGGAGGGGGAUAACUACUGGAAACGGUAGCUAAUACCGCAUAACGUCGCAAGACCAAAGAGGGGGACCUUCGGGCCUCUUGCCAUCGGAUGUGCCCAGAUGGGAUUAGCUAGUAGGUGGGGUAACGGCUCACCUAGGCGACGAUCCCUAGCUGGUCUGAGAGGAUGACCAGCCACACUGGAACUGAGACACGGUCCAGACUCCUGCGGGAGGCAGCAGUGGGGAAUAUUGCACAAUGGGCGCAAGCCUGAUGCAGCCAUGCCGCGUGUAUGAAGAAGGCCUUCGGGUUGUAAAGUACUUUCAGCGGGGAGGAAGGGAGUAAAGUUAAUACCUUGGCUCAUUGACGUUACCCGCAGAAGAAGCACCGGCUAACUCCGUG
RNAcentral lists this ribosomal RNA (490 nucleotides) under uncultured bacterium. RNAcentral's name for it is "partial 16S ribosomal RNA". It matches the Rfam family "Bacterial small subunit ribosomal RNA", at positions 30 to 507 of the family's 1533-position model. The record is from RNAcentral.